GACGAACCGUGCGAACGUUGUUCGGAUUCACUGGGCUUAAAGGGCGCGUAGGCGGGCGGUCAAGUCAGGGUGAAAUCUUUCGGCUCAACCGGAAAAGUGCCUUUGAUACUGGCCGUCUCGAGGGAGGUAGGGGCAUGCGGAACUUCCGGUGGAGCGGUGAAAUGCGUAGAUAUCGGAAGGAACGCCGGUGGCGAAAGCGGCGUGCUGGACCUCUUCUGACGCUGAGGCGCGAAAGCCAGGGAGCAAGCGGG
Molecule: ribosomal RNA, 251 nt
Filed under: uncultured bacterium
Lineage: Bacteria
Description: partial 16S ribosomal RNA
Rfam family: Bacterial small subunit ribosomal RNA
Source: RNAcentral